This 21-nucleotide non-coding RNA is filed under the name Arabidopsis thaliana (thale cress). Lineage: Eukaryota; Viridiplantae; Streptophyta; Magnoliopsida; Brassicales; Brassicaceae. The record is from RNAcentral.
UGGUUUUUUGCUUUCAUCUUA